Molecule: ribosomal RNA, 274 nt
Filed under: uncultured bacterium
Lineage: Bacteria
Description: partial 16S ribosomal RNA
Rfam family: Bacterial small subunit ribosomal RNA
Source: RNAcentral
GUACGGAGGGUGCAAGCGUUGUUCGGAAUCACUGGGCGUAAAGGGCGCGCAGGCGGUUUGGUAAGUCAGAUGUGAAAGCCCACGGCUCAACCGUGGAAGUGCAUUUGAAACUGUCAGACUUGAGUACUAGAGGGGAAAGUGGAAUUCCCGGUGUAGAGGUGAAAUUCGUAGAUAUCGGGAGGAAUACCGGUGGCGAAGGCGACUUUCUGGCUAGAUACUGACGCUGAGGCGCGAAAGCGUGGGGAGCAAACAGGAUUAGAUACCCCAGUAGUCC